RNAcentral lists this transfer-messenger RNA (88 nucleotides) under Comamonadaceae bacterium CG_4_9_14_0_8_um_filter_57_21. RNAcentral describes it as "partial transfer-messenger RNA". It matches the Rfam family "transfer-messenger RNA", at positions 286 to 374 of the family's 374-position model. From Rfam's summary of the family: Bacterial tmRNA, also known as 10Sa RNA or SsrA, is named for its dual tRNA and mRNA-like properties. Its role is to liberate the mRNA from a stalled ribosome. The record is from RNAcentral. Lineage: Bacteria; Pseudomonadati; Pseudomonadota; Betaproteobacteria; Burkholderiales; Comamonadaceae.
AAAGCGAGAUUUAAAUCAGACGGCUACACAUGUAGAACUGUUCGAAGAAGGUUUGCGGACGCGGGUUCAAAUCCCGCCAGCUCCACCA